RNAcentral lists this ribosomal RNA (630 nucleotides) under Hyphodontia mollis. RNAcentral describes it as "eukaryotic LSU rRNA". The stretch from base 228 to 381 matches the Rfam family "5.8S ribosomal RNA". The record is from RNAcentral. Lineage: Eukaryota; Fungi; Basidiomycota; Agaricomycetes; Hymenochaetales; Schizoporaceae.
UCGAGUUUUGAAGUGGGCUUGAUGCUGGCUUCUUUCCUGAAGCAUGUGCUCAGCCCCGCUCUCAAAUCCACUCAACACCUGUGCACUUUCAAAGUCAAUGUAGUCCUCCGUCAUGGGAGUCGUAGGUCUUAGGAUCUGCUGGGACUGCUUGCUUUGCCCCUUCAUCACAAACUAUAUUGCAUUGUCUUGUAGAAUGUGUUAGCCUCUUAGUGGGCGAAACUUAAUACAACUUUCAACAACGGAUCUCUUGGCUCUCGCAUCGAUGAAGAACGCAGCGAAUUGCGAUAAGUAAUGUGAAUUGCAGAAUUCAGUGAAUCAUCGAAUCUUUGAACGCACCUUGCGCUCCUUGGUAUUCCGAGGAGCAUGCCUGUUUGAGUGUCGCUAAAUCAUCAACUCCCUCCUUUUUUCUAAAGGUCGGUGAGCUUGGAUUUGGGGAUCUGCUGGCCUCACGGUCGGCUUCCCUUGAAUGCAUUAGCUGGAUCCAUGAUUUGCAGCAUAUAUGCGGUGUGAUAAUGUCUUCACUGCAUUGCUCAGAUCGUCUGGCUUCUAAUAGUCCUUUGAUUAGGACAACUUUGAUCAUUCAGACCUCAAAUCAGGUAGGACUACCCGCUGAACUUAAGCAUAUCAAAA